RNAcentral lists this transfer RNA (72 nucleotides) under Camelus bactrianus (Bactrian camel). It matches the Rfam family "tRNA". Rfam says of the family: Transfer RNA (tRNA) molecules are approximately 80 nucleotides in length. Their secondary structure includes four short double-helical elements and three loops (D, anti-codon, and T loops). The record is from Rfam by way of RNAcentral. Lineage: Eukaryota; Metazoa; Chordata; Mammalia; Artiodactyla; Camelidae. RNAcentral also lists the same sequence under 2 other names.
GAGGGUAUAGCUUAGUGGUAGUGCAGAUGCUUAGCAUGCAAGAGGUCCUGGGUUCAAUCCCCAGUACCCGCA